Helianthus annuus (common sunflower) is the source of this 4871-nucleotide long non-coding RNA. RefSeq lists it as uncharacterized. Lineage: Eukaryota; Viridiplantae; Streptophyta; Magnoliopsida; Asterales; Asteraceae. The transcript has 2 exons. The record is from RefSeq and is a predicted model, not a curated record.
CAGUAUAAGUUUUGGACAAAAACGGUAUCUUAAUUACGGGUCUGCCACACAGAGUAUACGGUAAAGCAAGAGAGAGAGUUAGGGGCCUGUAUCCUUACGGCGGAGACACGGAGUCGCGCCGACGGUGACAUUACAACCCGGUGCGUACACUGCCGCAACUCGCUGGCCGGAGGACGAGGGUUCCAUCAGUGAUGUCGGCUCGGUGGUAUAAGCGACGGUGGUUCUAUUCACAUGGUCCAGGUGGUGUAUGUACGAGGUCGACCGGUGGCUGCGGCGGCGAAACUGGAACUAAGGUUCCGACCGUUACCGUAUCCCACAGCCGAUCUAGCUUCAAGAUGAUGUCCCCGGCGACAUGCAACGGCUGCGCAUAGACAUAACUUUACGUUACUUUGAUUGCUAUGCUAAAGCUUCCUGAUUAAGCCAUUGUCAUCACCAAAGAUGUUAUUGGACUUUAAAGCAUCUAACCUGAUGUUAUCAGCCAUGAGAUUUCAACAAUAUGAAUUCGUAAGAAACUUCACAUAAACCUUUAUAUGGGUUACUUUUAGUUAGAAUUUAACCUAAUAUGAUUACAUUGGGUUUUAAAUUUAGUUAGAACAAAAGAAAGAAGUUGACAACAUUCUUAAGAAUGAUUACUUGAAAGUUCACCGCGCAAACGGGUCUAUGUAAUAAUCAAGAAAUUAACAUUUGGUUUUAGAUAUUUUUUUUAUGCUGAACAGAGAUCUAAAUCGUGUUAUUUUAUGCUACUAGCUAACAUAUUGCAUUGGUAGCUAUUAGCAAAUCGUGUUAUAUGGUUAUUUACUUGAUCGUACAUAUGGUGCUUUGAAUUUGUCUAAAUUUUGGUCGAUGAGUGUUGUAAUUUGAUUUGGGAAUGUUUGGCAUAAACUAUUAAUGGUUUCAAUUUUAUGGAUAUUGAGGGAUGAGAUUUGGACGAAGAGGUUAUACUGUUACUUAAGGUUGCAUUAGUCUUUUGGGAACAUAUAUCCAAACACCCUUAUAAUAAGUGCCUAUAAUAGUUUGGUAGUAAAAUGAAGAAACUUAGAAUGUAUGCAUAUACUUUAGGCUUUGAUUGAUUAUUUUUUAUUUAUGGAAAUUAAUCGGGUGGUACGGGUCGGUUAGGGGAAUGAAAACUAAAUAUGCCAAUGGGGGUAACGGGUCAUACCAGGUUCAGCUCAAAGUAGAUUGGUUUAAUACAUGAUCAGCGGGCGUUUUAGGUCGCAGAAGAUGGAAGACGCGGGCAUAUCAGCCCUUAGACCAGAGGGAGCUGCACCAGCAGCUAAGGUACGCGUUGUAUGCAAGUGGAUUCCAGCCUUUAGGUAGAACGAACACACUAUGUGCUGGUCGACCGAGAGGUACGCCCAUAAACCUCACCUGUUUAUCAUAGACAACAUAAUCGUCAGAUGGUUUCACGUUACUCAAAUAAGCCCGGAAUGUGUUUUGCCCUUUUAUUUUUCAUUCUCUGCAUACUCCGUUUUAUAUAUAUAUAUAUAUAUAAAGUAAUUUCCUAAACUAUAUAUAUAGUAUGUACCAGGUGGAUCAAAAUCUCUCAUUUAUCAUAUACCAACAGCCAUUAAUCUUAGUAAUCUAUGCCUAUACUACAAACUUCUAGGUCCUUAUAAACUGCUGUUUCGCGAACAACAAAAUGAGUCAUUAUUUGUCACAGUUUUUUCUUGAAUUGGCGAACAAACAAAAUGUGAGUCAUUAUUCAUCAAAGUUUUCCUUAAACUGAGAUUGUUCCGUUUAGUCUACGUUGGUCCAGUAACCGGCUUAAACUUUUGGCGAGCGUAUUGAGAUUGUUCUAUUGUGCAGCUUUAUGGCUUCCAGGUAGUUCUAUUCGUUUUCUUUUUUAGUCGGCUAUGUUCACCUACCAAGUUAGUUACCUAUGAAACACAUUUUUAUGGCCAAAAAUGUGCUCUGUGAAUAAUUUUUAAAAGCUAUAGUCAUCAAAUAUAAAAUGCUCCAUACAAAAUCUCAUAUAUGAAAAAGUGUGUAGGUUACUUUACGCCAUACCAAACCACGUGUAAGCAACCAAUUAAGCAAUAAAAACCACCCAUAUAUAAAAACCUAACACAUGCCUUAUUGUAGGUACCGAAUUACAGUGACCAUCUCUGACAAAACUGGGGAGAAAGGGUGGAGCUAUGGCUGUGCUCCGGCGACAACCCAUGAAAGUCGGUGUGUGACGACCUGAAAUGGGGGAUCAGUUCUGGAACAGCAAUCGGUUGCGGUGCCAUCUUCGGGGUGGUAUUCAUCACGGAAGGGUUUUGUCUGCCCCGCCGCUGCGAAGCGCGGGUGGAAACCACUAGUAUAUGUAUUAAAACAUAACAUAACCGAGAAACAGUAGUUUAACGGUAACGGCGUCAACUUAUCAUCUUCUAAACCCUAAUACCUCAAUCACAGUUUCUUCUUGGCCUCUUCUUCACCACAUCGACACCUUCCCACCACCGCCCUCCAUCAUCGUCCUGAACCCCAACGCCAGGCUUACCGUCGCACACAUCCGCUUCCCCGUCGCUGGUUCCGACCACCACGCCCUCAGCCGUCCUAACCACACCGGAACCACUACGCACCACCGUUCGCCCUCACCUUCGCCGCAGGUCUCCGACAUCAGGUAAGCUUCCCUUUAUUAGAGCAUUAGUAUACAGCAUAGGGUUUCUUCUGUAACCGUUGCUUGUGUUUGCUUAAAUGAGUCUCCAAAGUUACGACCAUCGAGUAAAGAGUUGCUUGAUUGGUUGCAUCAUGGUAACAUUUACACUUAGGUUAGUUUGCAUCCAAUUGUCGGUUAGUUUCAUGGUAACAUUAGAAUGUGGGUAUUGUCGGUUGAUUUUUGGGGGUUUUUUUAUUAAAGAAAGUGAAAGGGAUUGUUAAAGAACAGAUUUCCUCAUUGUCACAUUUAGUGUCAGGCGCCCCCGUUGAAUUUAUAUUCUUGAUUCUCCGAUGUUUUUCAGUUCGAACCCUUCUAUUCGCCGAUGUGUAUACCAUAGGUCUAAUGUGUAGAUCGACACAAAAUGCUUUAAUUGAGCAUCUUUGAAUUGGGUUAAACCAGGGCCGCAACAGUACACCGCCUGCUUAUCUCCAUCAACCCUCAUCUCCAUGAGUUUGAGAACCUUUGUUCAAAUUAAAGAGAGAGAUAGAAAAUGGGGGAAAUAGAAAUUGAAAGAUUCAGAGAGAUGAGGGAUUUUCUAAUUUGGCCACAAAAAUAAGACUUACCACCACGUUGAAUUGGUUCGUCGGCGACAGGGAGGUAUUGGAAAUAACAUUGGCGGUAGACACCUCAACGGAAGUGGAGACGGCCCGCUGUGGCGGCUGAUGCUAAGUAAGACCCGCUGGUGUUUGUCUGAAAGCAUCGCAUGUAGGCUAUGAGUGGAGAUUCCGCCGUCGCGUAUGACGACGGUAACGACAUACCUGGACGGAAGGUAGGGUUUGACGAAAGUAAAACGGCUAAGGUUCAUCUAAAACUACCAGCGGCUAAUGAAUUUGAUAAAUCUGAGGAUCAAAUACAAAGAGUUUUCUAACGGGUUGCUUAUAAGUUAGUUUAUGAAUCUGUUUCAAGCACAUCUUUGCCAUUACUACUAGGAUUGUCAAUUGUGGAUUUUUCCCUUGCGUCUGAGUUAGUUUCAUAGAAUGUAUUUUAUACCUUAUUAUGAAUUCUUUAUGAUUAGCUUAAAGAAAAUGACCUACUUUAGUUGUUGUUCACAGUUUUUUUACCUUUGGUUCCGGCCAUUAUUACUUUCGGAUCAAGUUCUUCAAAUCGAUAAAUGAAAUGUAAUAUUGUAAAUGGUCCUUUUGUAGGAUAACUACUGUUCACUCUGUAUGUUUUGCUGUUGAAUGUAGUAGGAUAACUAGAUCUGCUGAUGUAGUCUGCCUAAAUUAGUAUGAAUGUGCCUAUUUUGUAAUGUGUCUUACCAUUACAGACACUGAUCCAGCCACCAAAUUGAAUUUCAUGUUCAAUCCAAUCACUUAUUUUGAUUUCUUCCGUCACAAAAACUAGAAUAGAUGGCUAUCGAAAGGAGAGGGAAGGUUCGAUGUCGUGGACGAAACCUCAGAGGCUGCCAAAGUUAAAAACAAUUAUGAUUAUUUUUCAUUCAAUAGUUAUGAACAUGAAAUGUGUCUGACUAUUCUCCUGUCAAAUUGGAUCUGGUGUUGCAUGUUUGUAGAAGAUGGAAUACGAAAAAGAGAUCCCCGAAUCGAAAUAUGAAUGUCUUCUUUUUGGUAAGACUUUAAUUUCUUUAAUCAUCAUCAUGUCUUAUUUAUGUCGCAGUUUGCAUUUAACCUUCUGGUAAUUUGUUCUACGCGGCGUUAAUUAUUUGUGGGUUUUGUUAAUUCGGUUCCACGUUUGUUCGAUUAGUGUGUGGAUCGAGUUCUUCAGAAUUACAAUGGAUGUAAGUACUUCAAAUCUUCAGUGUAUGCACAGUUACUUUAAUUUAAUAUAAAAAUGUGCAAUCAAGAAGUGAGAUUUGUACGGCAUAAGUUUGUGAUAUCCGAUUUAGAUCAAGUUUAGUUAAAUGGAUGUUUUUGUUUGUGAUUAUAGUGAAACUUGGUUGAGAUUUGCAUGUGCUCUUCUCAUAACCUACUUUUGUCAUAACCACUUAAAAAAUGGAUGUAACAUAUUUUGGGAAAUAAGUCAUCAAAACUGAACGUUACAAAUUUUAACUUUUAACAUUGUGUAUCUUUAUGGAUACCGUUUACAAAUUUCAUCUUUAUUGAUACCGUUAGAAUAUUUAAUGUUUGUUGUCGUUUUAUUUGUGCACGGAGGAUAACGAUCGAUGUAGAUGUAGAAGAAAUGCAGAAGAGGAAAAAGGAAAGCAGCCUAAACUUAAAGAAACACCAAUCGUAACUUUAUGGUUUUUUUUAAAUAUAAAGUUUCAGACACGUUAAAA